Molecule: ribosomal RNA, 472 nt
Filed under: Pediococcus pentosaceus
Lineage: Bacteria; Bacillati; Bacillota; Bacilli; Lactobacillales; Lactobacillaceae
Description: bacterial SSU rRNA
Rfam family: Bacterial small subunit ribosomal RNA
Source: RNAcentral
GGCGAACGGGUGAGUAACACGUGGGUAACCUGCCCAGAAGUAGGGGAUAACACCUGGAAACAGAUGCUAAUACCGUAUAACAGAGAAAACCGCAUGGUUUUCUUUUAAAAGAUGGCUCUGCUAUCACUUCUGGAUGGACCCGCGGCGUAUUAGCUAGUUGGUGAGGUAAAGGCUCACCAAGGCAGUGAUACGUAGCCGACCUGAGAGGGUAAUCGGCCACAUUGGGACUGAGACACGGCCCAGACUCCUACGGGAGGCAGCAGUAGGGAAUCUUCCACAAUGGACGCAAGUCUGAUGGAGCAACGCCGCGUGAGUGAAGAAGGGUUUCGGCUCGUAAAGCUCUGUUGUUAAAGAAGAACGUGGGUAAGAGUAACUGUUUACCCAGUGACGGUAUUUAACCAGAAAGCCACGGCUAACUACGUGCCAGCAGCCGCGGUAAUACGUAGGUGGCAAGCGUUAUCCGGAUUUAUUG